CGCCGUUGCUGCUGCUGCUGCAAGAUAUAUUUACGUUUGCACUGAAUCACAAGCUUCGCACGUCUCUCACUUUGCUCGCUUUCACCAUGAAUAUUCAGAAAAAAGGUCAAGUCCCUGCUCUCCUCUUGAGUCCCUCCCCCGUGACUGUGCAGAAUAAUAUGUCCCUGUGCUUGUUCCAGUGCUUGUUCCUGCACCAGCUGCAGUGUAUUUAUUUUUAUUUUUUUAAUAUUGUGGAAAAACAGGAGGAGGAAUAAUUGGGAUUUGGGUUUUUUUUUUUAAACAUCUGGCCUCAGUCCUAGAUUCCAGUUUAUGCCUCAGCUGUUUCUGUGAAGGUAUUCUGCGUGCAUGUGCCCUCACACAGAUUGGACAUGUGUUCAUGGGUUUUAAUCCGUACGCUGCAUCUGGCCCCAACGGCAGGACAGGAUGUUCUAAGCCGCCUCGUGUCUGCUAUUUAAAGUUCCUUGUUUCCGAACUUCUCUGUUAGCACCGUUUUUCUGUUUCCACGCUCCACUCUUUCACUCAAGUCCCCCCCUGUAAUUCAAAGUGAUUUGGAGACUCCUUGAUUGACUGGCAGCCUGUCCAAAGUGUCUCCUUACCUCCACCCCAAUGCAUGCUGGGAUAUGCUUCGGUGCCCCAUCCAUUGACAAGGAAAAGGCGACAGAGAACAUGUUAUAUCAUCGCGCGCACGGAGAGCCACUAAAUAACCGGGGAGCUUGAACAAAGGCGUCUGGCCUCAGUGGGAAAGCUACUUAACCUCACUGGGUUAAAUACAGCUCCGGCUCCAUGUCCCUGAAGGUUUCCUGAGAUUAAGCUGACGGCACCUGAGCAGCGACUGCAGCCUUUUUAUAAACAUAAUGUAAUAAAUCCACGGUCACACAGUCGGAGAAUAGAUACAAAGCCUGCAUGCCGGCACUUGUAUGUAAAUGUAUUCAUAAGCAGAAAGCCAGCUCAAGGAGAUAAUAUGAGGCAAGGAAAUAAAACUAAGUGUUGAAAUGUGGUUGCGUGCGCUACAAAGAUGCAUCUUCUUUCAAUAUUUAGUAUGUCCCGUGUCAUAAUGUCCACCAGCUGCGUUUCUUUGCAGGUUCUCGAGCCCCUGCUCAAAAAUGACUUUGACAAACUGAAAUUCUGC
This is a long non-coding RNA of Gasterosteus aculeatus aculeatus (three-spined stickleback), 1129 nucleotides long. The record is from Ensembl. Lineage: Eukaryota; Metazoa; Chordata; Actinopteri; Perciformes; Gasterosteidae.